UAAACGACUCUCGGCAACGGAUAUCUCGGCUCACGCAUCGAUGAAGAACGUAGCAAAAUGCGAUACUUGGUGUGAAUUGCAGAAUCCCGUGAACCAUCGAGUUUUUGAACGCAAGUUGCGCCCAAAGCCUUUUGGCCGAGGGCACGCCUGCCUGGGCGUCACGC
This 164-nucleotide ribosomal RNA is filed under the name Lygodesmia juncea. RNAcentral describes it as "5.8S ribosomal RNA". It matches the Rfam family "5.8S ribosomal RNA". Rfam says of the family: 5.8S ribosomal RNA (5.8S rRNA) is a component of the large subunit of the eukaryotic ribosome. It is transcribed by RNA polymerase I as part of the 45S precursor that also contains 18S and 28S rRNA. Lineage: Eukaryota; Viridiplantae; Streptophyta; Magnoliopsida; Asterales; Asteraceae. The record is from RNAcentral.